RNAcentral lists this transfer RNA (71 nucleotides) under Stegodyphus mimosarum. It matches the Rfam family "tRNA". Rfam says of the family: Transfer RNA (tRNA) molecules are approximately 80 nucleotides in length. Their secondary structure includes four short double-helical elements and three loops (D, anti-codon, and T loops). The record is from Rfam by way of RNAcentral. Lineage: Eukaryota; Metazoa; Arthropoda; Arachnida; Araneae; Eresidae.
GCCUUCGUGGUCUAACGGUAGCACACUCGGCGCGCAUUCGAGAGGUCCGGGUUCGAGUCCCGGCGGGGGCA